GACGAACGCUGGCGGCGUGCUUAACACAUGCAAGUCGAACGGGCCUGUCUUCUUUUUUGGGGGGUGGGUUGAGUGGCGAACGGGUGAGUAUCACGUGAGUAACCUGCCCUUCGGUCCUGGAUAACCGCUUGAAAGGGCGGCUAAUACGGGGUGGUCCGGUUGGUCCGCAUGGGCUGGUCGGGAUAGAUUCACUGUUUUUGGUGUUUCGGCGGGGGAUGGGGUCGCGGCCUAUCAGCUUGUUGGUGGGGUGAUGGCCUACCAAGGCGGUGACGGGUAGCCGGCAUGAGAGGGUGGGCGGCCACACUGGGACUGAGAUACGGCCCAGACUCCUGCGGGAGGCAGCAGUGGGGGGUAUUGCACAAGGGGCGGAAGCCUGAUGCAGCGACGUCGCGUGAGGGAUGGAGGCCUUCGGGUUGUGAACCUCUGUUUCCGGUGGUGAAGGCCCUGUCCGUGUGGUGGGGUUGACGGUAGCCGGGGAUGAAGCGCCGGCUAACUACGUG
This 500-nucleotide ribosomal RNA is filed under the name uncultured bacterium. Its description in RNAcentral is "partial 16S ribosomal RNA". It matches the Rfam family "Bacterial small subunit ribosomal RNA", at positions 28 to 507 of the family's 1533-position model. The record is from RNAcentral.